GUGGGGGAUAUUGCACAAUGGAGGAAACUCUGAUGCAGCGACGCCGCGUGAGUGAAGAAGUAUUUCGGUAUGUAAAGCUCUAUCAGCAGGGAAGAUAAUGACAGUACCUGACUAAGAAGUCCCGGCUAACUACGUGCCAGCAGCCGCGGUAAUACGUAGGGGGCAAGCGUUAUCCGGAUUUACUGGGUGUAAAGGGAGCGUAGACGGAAUGGCAAGUCUGAAGUGAAAUCCUGCGGCUUAACUGCAGAAUUGCUUUGGAAACUGUCAAUCUGGAGUGUUGGAGAGGUAAGCGGAAUUCCUGGUGUAGCGGUGAAAUGCGUAGAUAUCAGGAAGAACACCGGAGGCGAAGGCGGCUUACUGGACAAUAACUGACGUUGAGGCUCGAAAGCGUGGGAAGCAAACAGGAUUAGAUACCCGGGUAGUCC
This 425-nucleotide ribosomal RNA is filed under the name uncultured bacterium. RNAcentral describes it as "partial 16S ribosomal RNA". It matches the Rfam family "Bacterial small subunit ribosomal RNA", at positions 354 to 796 of the family's 1533-position model. The record is from RNAcentral.